Molecule: ribosomal RNA, 231 nt
Filed under: Triticum aestivum (bread wheat)
Lineage: Eukaryota; Viridiplantae; Streptophyta; Magnoliopsida; Poales; Poaceae
Description: partial small subunit ribosomal RNA
Source: RNAcentral
AUGAAUUCAUCCCGCAAGUUCUUCAUGGUUGUUGCCGUCCUUGCCUUGCUCGUCGUGGCUACAGUGGUGGCGCCGGCGCAGGCGGUAGACUGCAGGACAGCGAGCACCCGGUUCAACGGCAUAUGCAUCCUGGACAGCAGUUGCGCCAACAUGUGCAUCACCGAGGGGUUCCUGGCUGGCGGGGAGUGUGAAGGUCUCCACCGACGCUGCAUGUGCAAAACACCAUGCUAG